This 490-nucleotide ribosomal RNA is filed under the name uncultured bacterium. RNAcentral describes it as "partial 16S ribosomal RNA". It matches the Rfam family "Bacterial small subunit ribosomal RNA", at positions 29 to 505 of the family's 1533-position model. The record is from RNAcentral.
AUUGAACGCUGGCGGCAUGCUUUACACAUGCAAGUCGAACGGUAACAGGCCUUCGGGUGCUGACGAGUGGCGAACGGGUGAGUAAUGCAUCGGAACGUACCCAGAGGUGGGGGAUAACGCAGCGAAAGCUGUGCUAAUACCGCAUGUGAUCUGAGGAUGAAAGCGGGGGACCGAGCAGCAAUGUUUGGCCUCGCGCCUUUGGAGCGGCCGAUGUCGGAUUAGCUAGUUGGUGGGGUAAAGGCCUACCAAGGCGACGAUCCGUAGCUGGUCUGAGAGGACGACCAGCCACACUGGGACUGAGACACGGCCCAGACUCCUACGGGAGGCAGCAGUGGGGAAUUUUGGACAAUGGGCGCAAGCCUGAUCCAGCAAUGCCGCGUGCGGGAAGAAGGCCUUCGGGUUGUAAACCGCUUUUGGCAGGAACGAAACGGUGUCCGCUAAUACCGGGCGCUAAUGACGGUACCUGCAGAAUAAGCACCGGCUAACUACG